UCCGAAUUGGUGUAGUGGCCAACAUUUGACGCUCUCAUCAUCUUCCUUGGUGCUUCUCUUAUGAGAUGUUAGGGAGAGUGACGGUGCCGUCAAGCCCGGGGUUCGAUUCCCCGAUUCGGAG
Molecule: non-coding RNA, 121 nt
Organism: Xylaria telfairii
Lineage: Eukaryota; Fungi; Ascomycota; Sordariomycetes; Xylariales; Xylariaceae
Source: the annotation of a GenBank genome assembly